RNAcentral lists this ribosomal RNA (216 nucleotides) under uncultured bacterium. RNAcentral describes it as "partial 16S ribosomal RNA". It matches the Rfam family "Bacterial small subunit ribosomal RNA", at positions 28 to 226 of the family's 1533-position model. The record is from RNAcentral.
GACGAACGUUGGCGGUGCGCUUUAUACAUGCAAGUCGCACGCGAAAGGCCCCUUCGGGGGCCGAGUAAAGUGGCGAACGGGUGCGUAACACGUGAGCAACCUGCCCGGAAGUGGGGAAUAACUCCGAGAAAUCGGGGCUAAUACCGCAUGUCGCCUAGGCUCCGCAUGAAGCCAUGGUGAAAGUCGGCCUCUGCUUGCAAGCUGGCGCUUCUGGAU